RNAcentral lists this ribosomal RNA (1339 nucleotides) under uncultured bacterium. RNAcentral's name for it is "bacterial SSU rRNA". It matches the Rfam family "Bacterial small subunit ribosomal RNA", at positions 28 to 1381 of the family's 1533-position model. The record is from RNAcentral.
AACGAACGCUGGCGGCGUGGAUAAGACUGCCAGUUCAAACGAGAGAAACCGCCGCCCCGCCAUACAUUCUCUAGUGGCGCACGGGUGAGUCACACGUCGAGUAACCUGCCCCCGAGAGCGGGAUAGCCCCGGGAAAACCGGGAUUCAUACCGCAUAGUCAUCGAAAAGAUUAAAGCAGCAAUCGCGCUUCGGGGAAGGGCUCGCGGCCUAUUAGUUAGUUGGUGAGGUAACGGCUCACCAAGGCGAUGACGGGUAGCCGGUCUGAGAGGAUGUCCGGCCACACUGGAACUGAGACACGGUCCAGACACCUACGGGUGGCAGCAGUCGAGAAUCAUUCACAAUGGGGGAAACCCUGAUGGUGUGACGCCGCGUGGGGGAAUGAAGGUCUUCGGAUUGUAAACCCCUGUCAUGUGGGAGCAAAUUAAAAAGAUAGUACCACAAGAGGAAGAGACGGCUAACUCUGUGCCAGCAGCCGCGGUAAUACAGAGGUCUCAAGCGUUGUUCGGAAUCACUGGGCGUAAAGCGUGCGUAGGCUGUUUCGUAAGUCGUGUGUGAAAGGCGCGGGCUCAACCCGCGGACGGCACAUGAUACUGCGAGACUAGAGUAAUGGAGGGGGAACCGGAAUUCUCGGUGUAGCAGUGAAAUGCGUAGAUAUCGAGAGGAACACUCGUGGCGAAGGCGGGUUCCUGGACAUUAACUGACGCUGAGGCACGAAGGCCAGGGGAGCGAAAGGGAUUAGAUACCCCUGUAGUCCUGGCAGUAAACGGUGCACGCUUGGUGUGCGGGGAAUCGACCCCCUGCGUGCCGGAGCUAACGCGUUAAGCGUGCCGCCUGGGGAGUACGGUCGCAAGAUUAAAACUCAAAGAAAUUGACGGGGACCCGCACAAGCGGUGGAGUAUGUGGCUUAAUUCGAUGCAACGCGAAGAACCUUACCUGGGCUUGACAUGUAAUGAACAACAUGUGAAAGCAUGCGACUCUUCGGAGGCGUUACACAGGUGCUGCAUGGCCGUCGUCAGCUCGUGUCGUGAGAUGUUUGGUUAAGUCCAGCAACGAGCGCAACCCCUGUUGCCAGUUACCAGCACGUGAAGGUGGGGACUCUGGCGAGACUGCCCAGAUCAACUGGGAGGAAGGUGGGGACGACGUCAGGUCAGUAUGGCCCUUAUGCCCAGGGCUGCACACGUACUACAAUGCCCAGUACAGAGGGGGCCGAAGCCGCGAGGCGGAGGAAAUCCUGAAAACUGGGCCCAGUUCGGACUGUAGGCUGCAACCCGCCUACACGAAGCCGGAAUCGCUAGUAAUGGCGCAUCAGCUACGGCGCCGUGAAUACGUUCCCGGGUCU